This is a non-coding RNA of Acanthosepion pharaonis, 77 nucleotides long. Lineage: Eukaryota; Metazoa; Mollusca; Cephalopoda; Sepiida; Sepiidae. The record is from the annotation of a GenBank genome assembly.
AGUUCCCGUACAAUCACCGAAGUUAAGCAACGUCGAGCCUGGGCAGUACCUAGAUGGGUAACCGCUUGGGAAUAUCA